This 200-nucleotide long non-coding RNA is filed under the name Lathyrus oleraceus (garden pea). RNAcentral's name for it is "Pisum sativum (pea) long non-coding RNA (PSAT_LNC007599)". The record is from RNAcentral. Lineage: Eukaryota; Viridiplantae; Streptophyta; Magnoliopsida; Fabales; Fabaceae.
AAAGUGGUCGAGAUACUGAUGAAGAUCUGGCAAAUGAUGUAGCAUUAUUGGGAAGACAGUUCAACAAACUUCUGAAAAAGAUGGAUGUAAGGUCUAAGUCUAAUGUCAAGAACAUCUCAUCUGACAUCAGUAGAUCCAAUAAUGCUGGAAGAAGAACAAGAUCUGAUGAAAAGUCCAAAGAAGGAAAAGGAGUUCAGUGC